AUGCUAAAACAGAGUCAUGGUGAGUGUCGUGGAAGCACUCAGUCACUCAGCAGGUCUGUGGGGCAUCUGUGCUGCGCCUUGUACUGGUUGGCGGUAGGUACUCAGGAUACAGGGGAGAGCAAAGUGGGUGAGCAUCCUUGUAUUGUGGUGCUUAUUGCCCCACAGUGCCGUAAUUUCCCCAGGAAAAAUUCUGUUGCUUCUACCUGGGUUUUGGAAGCUUUCCUGGAGGAGAUGGUGCCAGGGCCAAUUUUAAAGGGAAGUAAGACUGGAGAAGGAGGGAGGAAGGUGGAGUGGGAGGGCCAGACAUGGAAGAGGGGAGGGAUGGGUAGAAUGGAGCUAGUAAUAGAGGUGGGAUGGGGGCAGAGGAGGAAGAGUGGAGUAGAGGGGAGGGAGGCAGGUGAGGUGUGGGCUGGGAGGGAGGGGGAUGUUGGCGGAGCAGGUGUUUUUCUAGUACAGAGCAGGUGCUGAGAUAUUGAAGCAACAUGAUUGGGCCUGAACAUAUGUUCCAUUUGUAAGAAAAGAGAUGAACUGAUCCUGGUCCCAAGGGGUGUUUGAUGGUGUUGGGCAGACAAGGUGAAUACAUGAAAUGGUACUGUGCAGCCUGGUUGAAGGAGAUGCUGAAUUUUGCAGCUCUGGUUGUAAAUUGUUUAUCAGCAGAAUCUGAGUAGCCAGCCUGUUGCAUAACUUCAACCUGCUCUCUGGUCCUUAGUCGUCCAUUAAAUGUUUAUGAGCACCUCUGAGGUCCUGGAUAGAGUAGAUUCUGCCAAUACAAAGGUAAAAACUUAAGGACAAAGCCUGUUGUUCUAGGGCCUCAUAGAUAUUAAGAGACAAAGGUAAGCUUCUAUAAUACCAAGAAGUGAUGAGUUUUUCCAGGAACAGGAAACAAAUCUGAGUGGGGUACAAAGGAGCAGGCUGACAUUUUCUGUGGGGCUUUGUUAUUGCAG
RNAcentral lists this long non-coding RNA (944 nucleotides) under Capra hircus (goat). Its description in RNAcentral is "lncRNA (ENSCHIG00010000200.1)". Lineage: Eukaryota; Metazoa; Chordata; Mammalia; Artiodactyla; Bovidae. The record is from RNAcentral.